GACGAACGCUGGCGGCGUGCUUAACACAUGCAAGUCGAACGAAGAGCGAUGGAAGCUUGCUUCUAUCAAUCUUAGUGGCGAACGGGUGAGUAACGCGUAAUCAACCUGCCCUUCAGAGGGGGACAACAGUUGGAAACGACUGCUAAUACCGCAUACGAUCUAAUCUCGGCAUCGAGGAUAGAUGAAGGGUGGCCUCUACAUGUAAGCUAUCACUGAAGGAGGGGAUUGCGUCUGAUUAGCUAGUUGGAGGGGUAACGGCCCACCAAGGCGAUGAUCAGUAGCCGGUCGGAGAGGAUGAACGGCCACAUUGGGACUGAGACACGGCCCAGACGCCUACGGGAGGCAGCAGGGGGGAAUCUUCCGCAAGGGACGAAAGUCUGACGGAGAAACGCCGCGGGAGGGAUGACGGCCGUCGGGUUGUAAAGCUCGGUUAAUCGGGACGAAAGGCCUUCUUGCGAAUAGGGAGAAGGAUUGACGGUACCGGAAUAGAAAGCCACGGCUAACUACGUG
This 510-nucleotide ribosomal RNA is filed under the name uncultured bacterium. RNAcentral describes it as "partial 16S ribosomal RNA". It matches the Rfam family "Bacterial small subunit ribosomal RNA", at positions 28 to 507 of the family's 1533-position model. The record is from RNAcentral.